UACAUGUGGGGCAAGCGUUGUUCGGAAUUACUGGGCAUAAAGGGUGCGUAGGCGGUUUGUUAAGUCACAGGUGAAAGUUUUCGGCCCAACCGGAAAAUUGCCUGCGAUACUGGCGAACUUGAGUGCGUGAGGGGUUGGGGGAACGAGCAGUGUAGCGGUGAAAUGCGUAGAUAUUGCUCGGAAGGCCGGAGCCGAAGGGGCCCAACUGGUGCGCAACUGACGCUGAUGCACGAAAGCGUGGGGAGCAAACAGG
RNAcentral lists this ribosomal RNA (253 nucleotides) under uncultured bacterium. RNAcentral describes it as "partial 16S ribosomal RNA". It matches the Rfam family "Bacterial small subunit ribosomal RNA", at positions 524 to 776 of the family's 1533-position model. The record is from RNAcentral.